Drosophila nasuta is the source of this 559-nucleotide long non-coding RNA. RefSeq lists it as uncharacterized. NCBI's taxonomy places the organism in Eukaryota, Metazoa, Arthropoda, Insecta, Diptera, Drosophilidae. The transcript is spliced from 5 exons. The record is from RefSeq and is a predicted model, not a curated record.
CCAUACAAUGCGAUAAAUAUUAAAAUUUAAUGCUCUUAAUAAAAACCAAUCCAAAAACAUUUCUCGCAUACACACUUGCAAACGGCUAAUGUUAGAGAAGCUAGAAAAACAUCGAAAUAGAAUUCUUGUUCAUCGCCUUCUGACAUAGACAAUUUGGCAAAUGUGAUGUCCACGUUACUAUUGGUAUAUCCGGAUUCUUUUGCUGCAUUUAUAAUAUUAGAUGCUUUAAUCUGGAAAGCCGUAUAAUAUUGUGAGGUAUAAGACUGCUUAGGGGCUUAUUAUGAUCGUCAUCGAUAGUAACAUUCCAAGAUUUCAACUGAACAGCAUAUGCAUGCCACUUUGGAAGAUCCUCUUCAGUCUCGACAGCAGCUUCUUUCAAAUCAUGUUGGAGGCUGGAGGCUAGAUCAGAUCUUCCGAUGCUCUGACACACACCAGGAUGGCGAGAAUCGCUGUAUAAGCAAUGCGCAUCUUCAAAAAAUAUUGAAAUCGUACUAACGUUUCAAAUGCAUAUUUAUCAGCUUAUAUAGCAGGCACCGACUGAUCACGCAAUCACGAUCCG